This 245-nucleotide ribosomal RNA is filed under the name Faecalibacterium prausnitzii. RNAcentral's name for it is "partial 23S ribosomal RNA". It matches the Rfam family "Bacterial large subunit ribosomal RNA", at positions 2684 to 2925 of the family's 2925-position model. The record is from RNAcentral. Lineage: Bacteria; Bacillati; Bacillota; Clostridia; Eubacteriales; Oscillospiraceae.
CGAGAGGACCGGGACGGACGUACCUCUGGCGCACCAGUUGUUCCGCCAGGAGCAUAGCUGGGCAACUACGUACGGAUCGGAUAAACGCUGAAAGCAUCUAAGCGUGAAGCCGACCCAAAGAUAAGAUAUCCCACUGAUUUAAUCAGGUAAGACCCCUUGAAGACUACAAGGUUGAUAGGCACGAUGUGUAAGUGGAGCGAUCCAUUCAGCAAGCGUGUACUAAUAGGUCGAGGGCUUGACCACAA